AUUGAACGCUGGCGGCAUGCCUUACACAUGCAAGUCGAACGGCAGCACGGGAGCAAUCCUGGUGGCGAGUGGCGAACGGGUGAGUAAUAUAUCGGAACGUGCCCGGUCGUGGGGAUAACGUAGCGAAAGCUACGCUAAUACCGCAUACGAUCUACGGAUGAAAGCGGGGGAUCGCAAGACCUCGCGCGAUUGGAGCGGCCGAUAUCAGAUUAGGUAGUUGGUGAGGUAAAGGCUCACCAAGCCGACGAUCUGUAGCUGGUCUGAGAGGACGACCAGCCACACUGGGACUGAGACACGGCCCAGACUCCUACGGAGGCAGCAGUGGGGAAUUUUGGGACAAUGGGCGCAAGCCUGAUCCAGCAAUGCCGCGUGCAGGAUGAAGGCCUCGGUU
This 391-nucleotide ribosomal RNA is filed under the name uncultured bacterium. Its description in RNAcentral is "bacterial SSU rRNA". It matches the Rfam family "Bacterial small subunit ribosomal RNA", at positions 30 to 424 of the family's 1533-position model. The record is from RNAcentral.